AGAGUUUGAUCCUGGCUCAGAAUCAACGCUGGCGGCGUGCCUAACACAUGCAAGUCGCACGAGAAAGUGGAGCAAUCCAUGAGUAAAGUGGCGCACGGGUGAGUAACACGUGAAUGAUCUACCUCCGAGUGGGGAAUAACUGAGAGAAAUCUUAGCUAAUACCGCAUAAUACCCACGGGUCAAAGCAGCAAUGCGCUUGGAGAGGAGUUCGCGGCCGAUUAGUUAGUUGGCGGGGUAAUGGCCCACCAAGACGAUGAUCGGUAUCCGGCCUGAGAGGGCGCACGGACACACUGGAACUGAAACACGGUCCAGACUCCUACGGGAGGCAGCAGUGGGGAAUUUUGCGCAAUGGGGGAAACCCUGACGCAGCAACGCCGCGUGGAGGAUGAAAUCCCUUGGGAUGUAAACUCCUUUCGAUAGGGAAGAUUAUGACGGUACCUAUAGAAGAAGCCCCGGCUAACUUCGUGCCAGCAGCCGCGGUAAUACGAGGGGGGCAAGCGUUGUUCGGAAUUAUUGGGCGUAAAGGGUGCGUAGGCGGUUUGACAAGUCUGAUGUGAAAUCUAUGGGCUCAACCCAUAGUCUGCAUCGGAAACUGUCGGGCUUGAGUAUGGGAGAGGUGAGUGGAAUUUCCGGUGUAGCGGUGAAAUGCGUAGAUAUCGGAAGGAACACCUGUGGCGAAAGCGGCUCACUGGACCAUUACUGACGCUGAGGCACGAAAGCUAGGGGAGCAAACAGGAUUAGAUACCCUAGUAGUCC
Molecule: ribosomal RNA, 756 nt
Filed under: uncultured bacterium
Lineage: Bacteria
Description: bacterial SSU rRNA
Rfam family: Bacterial small subunit ribosomal RNA
Source: RNAcentral